CACACACAGGCCAGUGGUCACAAUCUCAACACCUGAGUUUUCUAUAAACGAUUUAUCAGAGGUUGCAGCUGAACGUGGCCAUGAGGUAAACCCUGCCCUUGGUUGAAAUUUAGUUUCAUCAGCUUCUACAUGGAAUUAUAAGGACUUGGAAAAGAUCACAAAACCCAACAGGUUUUUCUUUUUUUAAGGUUUAU
This 194-nucleotide long non-coding RNA is filed under the name Meriones unguiculatus (Mongolian gerbil). Its description in RNAcentral is "lncRNA (ENSMUGG00000010057.1)". Lineage: Eukaryota; Metazoa; Chordata; Mammalia; Rodentia; Muridae. The record is from RNAcentral.